RNAcentral lists this ribosomal RNA (391 nucleotides) under Trichuris fossor. RNAcentral describes it as "SSU rRNA". It matches the Rfam family "Eukaryotic small subunit ribosomal RNA", at positions 547 to 938 of the family's 1831-position model. The record is from RNAcentral. Lineage: Eukaryota; Metazoa; Nematoda; Enoplea; Trichinellida; Trichuridae.
AUUGGAGGGCAAGUCUGGUGCCAGCAGCCGCGGUAAUUCCAGCUCCAAUAGCGUAUAUUAAAGUUGCUGCGGUUAAACCGCUCGUAGUUGGAUUGCGGUCGACGACGACGGUCGUCCUAAGCAGGAGUCGUUCCGUCGCUCGUCACCUGUUCAAUCAAGAUUGCCUUGGAUGCUCUUGAUCGGGUGUCCUUGGUAACUUGAAAGUUUACUUUGAGAAAAUGGAAGCGCUCAAGGCAGGCCGGAGAGCUUGAACAGUGGUGCAUGGAAUAAUGAAAGAUGGCCUUGGUGCUACUUUGUUGGUUUGCGGUGUCAAGGCAAUGAUUAAAAGAGACAGACGGGGACAUUCGUAUUGCUGCGUUAGAGGUGAAAUUCUUGGAUCGCAGCAAGACGA